GAUAGUUUGGCCGAGUGGUUCAAUGCCCCAGAUUUAUCCUUUGGCCCAAAAGGGCGUGGGUUCAAAUCCCACAAUUAUCA
Picea glauca (white spruce) is the source of this 80-nucleotide non-coding RNA. NCBI's taxonomy places the organism in Eukaryota, Viridiplantae, Streptophyta, Pinopsida, Pinales, Pinaceae. The record is from Rfam.